Molecule: long non-coding RNA, 240 nt
Organism: Macadamia integrifolia
Lineage: Eukaryota; Viridiplantae; Streptophyta; Magnoliopsida; Proteales; Proteaceae
Exons: 3
Source: RefSeq, a predicted model, not a curated record
AAUCCUCUCCCCUCCCAAUUCAUCAAGCAACAGACCAGUGACCGGCGACCAGCAACCAGAGAGACCUCCGAGCAGUGAGCUACGACUUCAACCAUUGACAAGCUACGAAUCUGAGUGCGGCGAAGGGCUCUCAUUUAGGUCUUUCUGAUACCUUUGCUGGUUUUCAUGGCAUAAAGUUCGGUGAGAUCAUCUCCAAUGAGUCAGGACCAAUAGGGGGAAGGGAAAAAACCCCUGAGAGAA